Molecule: unclassified non-coding RNA, 780 nt
Filed under: Hevea brasiliensis (rubber tree)
Lineage: Eukaryota; Viridiplantae; Streptophyta; Magnoliopsida; Malpighiales; Euphorbiaceae
Source: RNAcentral
AAAAAAUUUAUUUUCUCAGUAAAAUUCCCCUCUAAGUAAGUUUAUAUAUUUUAAUUACAUUAAAAAAAACCUUACCCUGCCUCAAAAAAAGCUUGCUCCAAACGAAGCAGUGUUAGUUGUUAGAGAAGAAGGGUUGUAGAUAGUUGCCAUUUUUGUUGGAGAUUGUUGCAAAGGAGAGAAAGAGAGGUUGAUGAAGAUACUUGAAGGUUUUAGGCUACUCAGAGCAUGAGCUAAUUUUGGGCAUCGGCCCAAAAAGCCAAUUAUUUUUCGUCUAGAAACGCCACUCUUGCACACCCAUAACUAACGACGCCUCUUAGAAGAAUGACAAUCGUCGAUGGUCUCCGCCAGCACCGGCUCCGGCGACCCAAAUUGCAGUUUCUGCCCAGUGUUAAAGAAUCAAGCUUUGUACAGGGAGAAUAUAUGGAUUUUGUAGAGAGAUUAAUUUGCGAUCGAGAGUUGAAGCAUUAUGGAAGAAAGAUGAACUUGGUGAAAUUGAGCUAACAGGAGUGACAUGUAACUGUUAAAGAUUAAGAUGCUCGCAAGAAAAUGAUGACGUGUGGCAGGCUCCUGCGUGACACAUGCUAGUAGUUGGUACUGGUGAUUGCCAGCCUGCCGCCAUUAUAUUUUAUAUCAUUUAUAAAUGCUAUUAAUGGCAAUAGUGGUUAAUGGUGCGUUGUUUUCGGCUUAUACAGAAACCUUUAAGAGUAAGGACUUUAAUUAAAUUUUACCAUAUCUCUUUGUCUUUGAAUUAUUUUAUUUUGCUGUAAAAUUUCAUUCAAA